ACGAAGGGGGUUAGCGUUGCUCGGAAUCACUGGGCGUAAAGCGCACGUAGGCGGAUUGUUAAGUCAGGGGUGAAAUCCUGGAGCUCAACUCCAGAACUGCCUUUGAUACUGGCGAUCUUGAGUCCGGGAGAGGUGAGUGGAAUUGCGAGUGUAGAGGUGAAAUUCGUAGAUAUUCGCAAGAACACCAGUGGCGAAGGCGGCUCACUGGCCCGGUACUGACGCUGAGGUGCGAAAGCGUGGGGAGCAAACAG
Molecule: ribosomal RNA, 251 nt
Filed under: uncultured prokaryote
Description: partial 16S rRNA
Rfam family: Bacterial small subunit ribosomal RNA
Source: RNAcentral